This 285-nucleotide ribosomal RNA is filed under the name uncultured bacterium. RNAcentral describes it as "partial 16S ribosomal RNA". It matches the Rfam family "Bacterial small subunit ribosomal RNA", at positions 335 to 605 of the family's 1533-position model. The record is from RNAcentral.
ACUCCUACGGGAGGCAGCAGUGGGAAUAUUGCACAAUGGGGAAAGCCCAUCGAUGCAGCCAUGCCGCGCUGUGUGAAGAAGGCCAAUUCGGGCUUGGUAAAGACACUUUCAGCGAGGAGGAAAGGGUGUGUGUUAAUACCAUACAUCUGUGACGUUACUCGCAGAAGAAGCACCGGCUAACUCCGUGCCAGCAGCCGCGGUAAUACGGAGGGUGCGAGCGUUAAUCGGAAUUACUGGGCGUAAAGCGUGCGCAGGCGGUUUGUUAAGCGAGAUGUGAAAGCCCGC